Molecule: transfer RNA, 82 nt
Filed under: Fusarium graminearum
Lineage: Eukaryota; Fungi; Ascomycota; Sordariomycetes; Hypocreales; Nectriaceae
Also listed under: 3 other names
Description: tRNA-Leu (TAA) (tRNA-Leu-TAA-1-1)
Rfam family: tRNA
About the family: Transfer RNA (tRNA) molecules are approximately 80 nucleotides in length. Their secondary structure includes four short double-helical elements and three loops (D, anti-codon, and T loops).
Source: RNAcentral
GCCAAGAUGGCCGAGUGGUUUAAGGCGCUGCAUUUAAGCUGCAGUAUCGAGAGAUGCCUGGGUUCGAACCCCAGUCUUGGCA